GAGAGCUGGUGUGAGGCUUGAGAUGGUGGCAUUUACAGAGGGUACCUGCUUAUCAGAGGUGGCAAGGCAGCCAAAGGAUGAAUCUACUAAUGAAAAUCCAGAAAUUUGCUAGUUUUUGUGUUAUGG
This is a non-coding RNA of Oryctolagus cuniculus (rabbit), 126 nucleotides long. The record is from Rfam. NCBI's taxonomy places the organism in Eukaryota, Metazoa, Chordata, Mammalia, Lagomorpha, Leporidae.